Molecule: transfer RNA, 73 nt
Filed under: Candidatus Epulonipiscium sp.
Lineage: Bacteria; Bacillati; Bacillota; Clostridia; Lachnospirales; Lachnospiraceae
Description: tRNA-Thr
Rfam family: tRNA
About the family: Transfer RNA (tRNA) molecules are approximately 80 nucleotides in length. Their secondary structure includes four short double-helical elements and three loops (D, anti-codon, and T loops). Further hydrogen bonds mediate the characteristic L-shaped molecular structure. tRNAs have two regions of fundamental functional importance: the anti-codon, which is responsible for specific mRNA codon recognition, and the 3' end, to which the tRNAs corresponding amino acid is attached (by aminoacyl-tRNA synthetases). tRNAs cope with the degeneracy of the genetic code in two manners: having more than one tRNA (with a specific anti-codon) for a particular amino acid; and 'wobble' base-pairing, i.e. permitting non-standard base-pairing at the 3rd anti-codon position.
Source: RNAcentral
GCUCUCGUGGCUCAGCAGGUAGAGCGUCGCCUUGGUAAGGCGGAGGUCGUCGGUUCGAGUCCGAUCGAGAGCU